GUUCGCUACGGGAGGCAGCAGUGGGGAAUAUUGCGCAAUGGGGGCAACCCUGACGCAGCAACGCCGCGUGCAGGAAGAAGGUCUUCGGAUUGUAAACUGUUGUCGCAGGGGAAGAAGACAGUGACGGUACCCUGUGAGAAAGUCACGGCUAACUACGUGCCAGCAGCCGCGGUAAUACGUAGGUGACAAGCGUUGUCCGGAUUUACUGGGUGUAAAGGGCGCGUAGGCGGGAUAGCAAGUCAGCGGUAAAAUGUCGGGGCUCAACCCCGGCCGGCCGUUGAAACUGGUUUUCUAGAGUUGGAGAG
RNAcentral lists this ribosomal RNA (305 nucleotides) under uncultured bacterium. Its description in RNAcentral is "bacterial SSU rRNA". It matches the Rfam family "Bacterial small subunit ribosomal RNA", at positions 335 to 654 of the family's 1533-position model. The record is from RNAcentral.